GCAGUGUUUAAAUUGCUUUUCUUUAAUCAAUUCGCACAUAUUUGUUGGGACAUUUAGCAAAAUGGGAAAUGGUAGAGUUGCCCAGUUUUGCCGAGCUCUAAGCUUGGAAGCAGAGCCGGCUACCGCGUUCAGGUUUCACGAGAAGCCCAGACUCAGGGUGAAUCCUGAAGGUUGAUCCAUCAUAUAAGCUUCCUCCAUCUCCCUCUGUGCAGGGCUGACUGGAGAAACGCUUAAAUAAGAAGAAAGCUGCAAGGUGGGGGCGGGAGCAUGUACAGCUGUGGGUCAUUAGCAAUAAUCACGGCCCGCCGGCAGGAGAGGAAGCCGAGCGUGGGGACAAGGGAGAGGCUUGGUCACCAGGAUAAAGAACUCAGUGUAAAAGCCACAGGAUGAGGACUCAGCACAGAGGAAAUGGUGGGGCCUACUGACGGCGGACCGAGGAGAGUGAUGGUUAAAGUCGAGGUCUGCAGGCCGAUGGAAGCGGACGUUUCAGAGGAGGCCAAGGAGGACUCAUCAGUACAGCUGUUCUCUGCUCCUGCGAUUGUGCCUCGCUGUGCGCCGGAACAGGAGUGCGCGGUGGAGGGGGUUUCAACUGACACUGAGAGGAAACGGUCCCUUCUUGUUUCUCCAGGGCAACUCCAACAUCUCAGAUGAAGCGCAGGUACUUCUGACUUUGGUUUUAACCCUAUCAAAGAAGUGUAUUUCAGGGGAAAACAAGGCUUUACACAAGUCUAUGCUUUCCAGCUUGACUCAUCUGAGUGCGGGCAGAUCCCUGCCUGAUGAGGUAACGUGGGCAACAGAAAAAUCCACGUGGCCGUCAUCACUCCGCCGGUGAGCAGUGAGAGGGCUCGACGGGCGGGCUCGACGGGCAGCCUCGCACUGGGAGAGGCUUCAACACUGGGAACCCUGUCACAAAGAGCCUGGGGGAGCUCCAGCCCAUCCUGCCGGCCCAAACUUGACUUCACCGGCGAGGCACUGCUACCGCCCUCAAAACUGCAGCAGAGAGCAAAGGAGUUUAUGGUGCGCUGGCAAGACAGGAUUACUGACAUCCAGCACCGCCCCUUACCAGCAGAGUACAGGAACUAUCUGCAUUCUCUGUGAAUUAUAACGGCCCACAGGCAGAUGAGAAUUAUCUAAUUUUUUUAUCGAAGUAUACUUGAUUUACAAGGAUUUACACAAACAUACACGUGUGUGUAUGUACAUAUUUCUUUUUCAGAUUCUUUUCCAUUAUAAGUUAUUGUAAGAUAUUGAAUAUAGUUCUCUGUAUUAUGCACAGGAGGCCCUUGUUGUUAUGUUACAGUAG
This 1300-nucleotide long non-coding RNA is filed under the name Bos indicus x Bos taurus (hybrid cattle). Its description in RNAcentral is "lncRNA (ENSBIXG00000001276.1)". The record is from RNAcentral. Lineage: Eukaryota; Metazoa; Chordata; Mammalia; Artiodactyla; Bovidae.